This is a long non-coding RNA of Triticum dicoccoides, 1437 nucleotides long. RefSeq lists it as uncharacterized. The record is from RefSeq and is a predicted model, not a curated record. NCBI's taxonomy places the organism in Eukaryota, Viridiplantae, Streptophyta, Magnoliopsida, Poales, Poaceae. The transcript is spliced from 8 exons.
UUCCCACAGCCUGUCCUGCCUCCUCCGCCCAUUCUCCUCGCGUCACCACGGGAGCCUCGCCGACGCCUGCUAUUCCUCCUCCCUCGUCUCUGUUCGACGCCGAGGACCAGUUCACCCCACACCUUUUCUCCACCCACGACCUAGGGUUGGGGAGGCUGGGUGUUCUCGCUGGGGUGGAGGAGCAGGGGAGGGCCGGGAGGCCGAAGGUGGGGGAGCAGCGAGGCCGGCGAAUGGAGCAGCGAGACCCGAAUUCUAGGCAUUGUACACAUUGCGGGAUGGAGAAGAGGCCGAUGUGGGGCGCAAGGAGCAGAGGGGCAAGAAAGGUGGGGGUGUGACUUUCAUCUCCUCUCUUCUAAUCGCGACUCUUGCGACCUCGUCAUCGGUGCUCGCUCGGCUGGCGUACGGGGCGGCGGCAGGGACGUUGGCCCUCGGCACGAACUCGAAGCCGAGUCUAGCUGACGAGCCCCGUGCGAUUGUGUGAAGCAAAUGUACGUGGCGAUGCAGGCCAGUUGGUAGUGUAGCAGCCUGCACAUAUGACAGGAGCAGCAGCCAGGUCCAUGGGCGGUUGCUUGCGGAGCAGCGGUCAAGUCACGGGGUACCACCAAUUGAGAAAAUAACUUUCCUUCUUGUGAGAGGGUCCAGCAUCUGAAGAAGAAAUUUUAUUUUCACUUUCAAGACUAUGUGGAUCUUAUCAUAUGGAAGGUUAUGGGAUUGGAUCUCCAUUUUCCAAGAUUCUUAGCUGAUAAGUAUAUUGUGCGGAAAAAUCUCUACUGAAUGACAAAUCCAAGCAAUCGACGAAGAUUUCGUGCUCAACCUCCCUCACAGCCCCAGGGAAGACUAUGAUAACACUAAGAUUAUCAGGAAAGGAUUCAGAGCUUUUUUUUAAUCCAGAUUAUCACACAUGAUGCAAAAUUAACAACCACGACUUUGAAAUAUGGAGAUGAUGCUUAUUAUGUGCUAGAAAUCAAAUAUGUAAAGGAGAAGAUAAUGUUUGCGAAGGAGAGGGGAGAGAGAUACGGGUCGAUUCUGGGUAAACUUUGCUUAAGUUGUUGGAGAAAAUGCUCGAUAGAUCUCAUGGAUGGAUGAGGUUGUGGCAGUAGUUCUCGGGUGCAAUAUCUAUCUUGAUAGAGUGAUCGAUCAGGGCACAUUAGAAGCAGAAAGAAGAGGAAACGUUUGGGCCGUCUAUGGCGUUGAAGAUUCAGUGUUUCUGUCUUGUGUACAUGCACGGCCAGUUCAGUAACUAGAUGGCCUUUUCUACUGUACUGGUGCUGCUACUUUUCACAUGCUAGCUUCUUUGGAAAGCGCCAACAGUGUGUACAACAUGUAAAGAGUCCAUGUUGAAAGAACAGAAGCAGAAGUAUGGAGUUGAUGUAUUAAUGGUCAAUCAAGGAAUUCAGUCUCGAUGAGCUUAACUAAUGAUGUGUGGGUUGAGCCUUA